ACGCUCGACACCUACGGGGAGGCAGCAGUUGGGAAUAUUGGACAAUGGAGGAAACUCUGAUCCAGUGACGCCGCGUGAAGGAAGAAGGUCUUCGGAUUGUAAACUUAUUUUGUCAGGGAAGAAAAAUGACUGUACCUGAAGAAAAAGCACCGGCUAACUACGUGCUAGCAGCCGCGGUAAUCUGAGCGGGCUGGCAAGGC
This 200-nucleotide ribosomal RNA is filed under the name uncultured bacterium. RNAcentral's name for it is "partial 16S ribosomal RNA". It matches the Rfam family "Bacterial small subunit ribosomal RNA", at positions 328 to 539 of the family's 1533-position model. The record is from RNAcentral.